GAUGAACGCUGACGGAAUGCUUAACACAUGCAAGUCAACCUGUGGCGGACGGGUGAGUAACGGGUAAAGAACUUGCCUCACAGCUAGGGACAACAUUUGGAAACGAAUGCUAAUACCUAAUACUGUGGGAGAGCUUGGCGGCCCAGUAGCUAGUUGGAGAGGUAACGGCGCACCAAGGCGAGGAUUGGUAGCCGGCCUGAGAGGGUGAUCGGCCACAAGGGGACUGAGAGGCGGCCCUGACUCCUACGUGAGGAAGGAGUGGAGACUGUAGGACAAUGGACCAAGGUCUGAGCCAGGCAUUCGGUGUGUACGAUGAGUUUUUCGGAAGGAAGAGUUUUUUCAGUUGAGAAGCGGUACCAACAGAAGAAGUGACGGCUAACUACGUGCCAGCAGCCGCGGUAAUAC
RNAcentral lists this ribosomal RNA (405 nucleotides) under uncultured bacterium. Its description in RNAcentral is "partial 16S ribosomal RNA". It matches the Rfam family "Bacterial small subunit ribosomal RNA", at positions 28 to 526 of the family's 1533-position model. The record is from RNAcentral.